UGGUGGCGAUAGCGAGAAGGAUACACCUGUAACCAUGCCGAACACAGAAGUUAAGCUUCUUAGCGCCGAUUGUAGUGAGGGGUUGCCCCUUGUG
Molecule: ribosomal RNA, 94 nt
Filed under: Enterococcus faecium
Lineage: Bacteria; Bacillati; Bacillota; Bacilli; Lactobacillales; Enterococcaceae
Source: RNAcentral